CGCGGACGCCGCAGAGCAGUCGGGUAGGCUGUUUGGUGGUUUCAGCCAGCUGGAUUUAGGACCGCACGGCAAGGAUCAGAUGAUGACAGGUGUCACAGCAGGGUCAGAGCCAGGGAAGACCCGUCCACGGAGCAGAAUUGUGCAGUAUAUUACAACAAUGAGUGAAUGGAUACAAAGUUCCAUCUUGAGUUGAUGGGAUCAGAUGGUGACAGGGGUCUCAGCAGGGUCAGGCAACCAGGGAAGACCAGUCUGUGACGGCACUGAGGUGAACUUUUGCAGAUGCACACUCUCUGUGCAGCAAACACUGGACAAGUCAGAAGCUUCAAAGAUUGAAACUAUUUUAAGGCAGUCUGA
This is a long non-coding RNA of Coregonus clupeaformis (lake whitefish), 354 nucleotides long. RefSeq lists it as uncharacterized. The transcript has 3 exons. Lineage: Eukaryota; Metazoa; Chordata; Actinopteri; Salmoniformes; Salmonidae. The record is from RefSeq and is a predicted model, not a curated record.